AAAUAUUUGAGUUUGAUGAUGGCUCUGAUUGAACGCUAUCCAAGUGCUUGACACAUGCUAAUCGUACGACAUCAUAUUAAAAAUGAUGUAGUGGUGUACAGGUGAGUAAAUAAUAUUUUGGCUACCUUAAAGAAAGGUUAAAUUCCUUAUAUAAGAAAGAAACUAAGGUUUCGCUUUAAGAUGUUAAUAAAUAUUUUCGGUGAAUAUAUAGUAGUAGAAAAGGUAAUAUCUUAACUAGCUAUAAGCCGUAGUCGUGACUGAGAGGUCGAUCGACCACAUUGGGUCUGAAAAAACCCCAAUGCGUAUUAGUACAGCAGUGAGGAAUAUUGGUCAAUGGCCUAACGGCUGAACCAGCAACUUGGAGGAAUAAAUGUAAUGAUAAAUAAUAUCAUUAUUUUUCUAAAUAGAAAAAUGAUUAUGACAAUUUUUUAUUUAUAAGUCUUGACCAAAUUACGUGCCAGCAGUCGCGGUAAUACGUAGAAGACAAGUGUUAGUCAUCUUGAUUAGGUUUAAAGGGUACCUAGACGGUAAAAUAAAUCCGAUAAGGAUAUUUAUUUACUAGAGUUUUAUAGGAGAAAGGGAGAACUUUUGGAGUAAAGAUAUAAUUUUUUAAUACCAAUAGGACUGAUAACGGCGAAGGCAGCUUUCUAUGUAAAAACUGACGUUGAGGGACGAAGGCUUGGGGAGCGAAAAGGAUUAGAUACCCUAAUAGUCCAAGCAGAAAAUUAUGAAUGCCAUAAGUUAGAUUCAACAUUUAACUUAAAAAAUGUAUUAAAUCUUUAAUACAUUUUAUAUAUUUAAAAAUUAAAUACAUAGAUUAGUUUUUAAUAUAAAAGAGUUAAAUGUUAAAAAUAUAUUUAACAUAUAAAUGAAAGUGUAAGCAUUCCACCUUAAGAGUAAGAUGGCAACAUUGAAACUGAAAUCAUUAGACCGUUUCUGAAACCAGUAGUGAAGUAUGUUAUUUAAUUCGAUAAUCCGCGAAAAAUCUUACCACAAUUUGUAUAAUACUAAAUUAUUACAAGCGUUGCACGGCUGUCUGCAGUUAAUGUCGUGAGACAUGGUUAAUUCCUUUAAUUAACGCAAACCCUUACUUUAUUUAUCUGUAUAAAGUUAUUCGCUAAAAAAAUGGUUAGAGAAUAGGGACCAAGACAAGUCAUCAUGACCAUAAUAUUGUGGGCUAUAGACGUGCCACACACGCCUUAACAAAAGGAUGCUAUAUUGUAAAAUGGAGCUAAUCCUUAAAAUAGGAUAUAAUAUGGAUUGUUGUCUGUAACUCGACAACAUGAAUAAGGAAUUACUAGUAAUCGUGAAUCACCACGUCACGGUGAAUUUAUAAUCAGUUAGGUACUAACCACUCGUCAGGCGCUGAAAGAAGUAUGUGCAAUAAGUUUGAUUUGUGUUUAUUUUAAUAAAUAUUAUAAUAUAUUUAUAUAUUUACAUUAAAUUUUCGUAUGUAUGACUUUAAUUGGUGUUAAGUCGUAAUAAGGUUCGUGUAAUGGAAAUUGCACGGGAUAUAUUAAUUUU
This is a ribosomal RNA of 1524 nucleotides. It matches the Rfam family "Bacterial small subunit ribosomal RNA". The record is from Rfam.